Molecule: ribosomal RNA, 253 nt
Filed under: uncultured Rikenellaceae bacterium
Lineage: Bacteria; Pseudomonadati; Bacteroidota; Bacteroidia; Bacteroidales; Rikenellaceae
Description: partial 16S ribosomal RNA
Rfam family: Bacterial small subunit ribosomal RNA
Source: RNAcentral
UACGGAAGGUCCGGGCGUUAUCCGGAUUUAUUGGGUUUAAAGGGUGCGUAGGCGGUCGGAUAAGUUAGAGGUGAAAUCCCGAGGCUCAACUUCGGAAUUGCCUCUGAUACUGUUCGGCUAGAGAGUAGUUGCGGUAGGCGGAAUGUAUGGUGUAGCGGUGAAAUGCUUAGAGAUCAUACAGAACACCGAUUGCGAAGGCAGCAUACCGGCGGCGAUCUGACGCUGAGGCACGAAAGCGUGGGUAUCGAACAGG